Molecule: long non-coding RNA, 371 nt
Filed under: Phoenix dactylifera (date palm)
Lineage: Eukaryota; Viridiplantae; Streptophyta; Magnoliopsida; Arecales; Arecaceae
Description: long non-coding RNA (PDAC_LNC003027)
Source: RNAcentral
AGUAGCGGUGCUUUAAAGCUGUCUUAUAUGUCAAUGCCAUCCUUAUAAACAGUUGAAAAACUUGAAGCUGAAAAUCUUACAAGAAACUGUCUUCGAGAAAUGAGUAUCGGUCUUUUCAAGUUGUCUUGUGAGUAGUCUUUUUUUUCUUCUAUUUUACCAAACCGAGGAGGGUACAAGGGGGCAAUCUCGAUGACCUCCGAUCUAGCGAGAACGAGUCAACCAUAGAUUGCGGUCUGUCAUGGGUUCUCACUACUGUGACCUUUAUGGUGGCAGAAGCUUGCCCUGCCUUCACGUUGAGGUCUGCUCAUUGUAAUACAACUAUUAUAUAAUUGUGUACUUUCUCAAACAGUUUAUGUCAUAGUAUUGCCUUG